RNAcentral lists this transfer RNA (84 nucleotides) under Undibacterium pigrum. Its description in RNAcentral is "tRNA-Thr". It matches the Rfam family "tRNA". Rfam says of the family: Transfer RNA (tRNA) molecules are approximately 80 nucleotides in length. The record is from RNAcentral. Lineage: Bacteria; Pseudomonadati; Pseudomonadota; Betaproteobacteria; Burkholderiales; Oxalobacteraceae.
GAAAACGUGGCAGAGUGGAUCAAUGCACCUGUCUACAUACAGCACUGCUGUCGGGGGCCGUGAGUUCGAAUCUCACCGUUUUCA